UGUUGAUGAUGACAACUCCUAAGGCUUGUUUCUCAGAACAUUCGCAGUGGCCGCCUAAGAGCUUUCGCCUUCGCCAGGUUUGAGAGCUAGUGCUGCUUAUUCCUUCCUUGGAUGUCUGAAACU
Quercus lobata is the source of this 123-nucleotide small nucleolar RNA. RefSeq annotates it as small nucleolar RNA SNORD14. The record is from RefSeq and is a predicted model, not a curated record. The transcript has a single exon. Lineage: Eukaryota; Viridiplantae; Streptophyta; Magnoliopsida; Fagales; Fagaceae.